Molecule: small nuclear RNA, 104 nt
Organism: Monodelphis domestica (gray short-tailed opossum)
Lineage: Eukaryota; Metazoa; Chordata; Mammalia; Didelphimorphia; Didelphidae
Source: Ensembl
GUACUUGCUUCAGCAGCACGUAUAUUAAAAUUGGAACAAUACAGAGAUUGGUAUGGUACCUGCACAAGGAUAACACGCAAAUUCAUGAAAUGUUCCAUAUUUUA